ACUGAGACACGGCCCAUACUCUUACGGGAGGCAGCAGCAGGGAAUAUUGCACAAUGGACGAAAGUCUGAUGCAGCGACGCCGCGUGAAUGAAGAAGGCCUUCGGGUUGUAAAAUUCUUUUCGGGGGGAAGAGGCAGGACGGUACCCUCGGAAUAAGCGUCGGCUAACUACGUGCCAGCAGCCGCGGUAAGACGUAGGACGCAAGCGUUAUCCGGAUUUACUGGGCGUAAAGCGUCUGUAGGCGGAAAGACAAGUUGGGCGUGAAAGCUCCGGGCUCAACCCGGAGAGUGCGUUCAAUACUGUCUAUCUAGAGGAGGUCAGAGGGGAGUGGAAUUUCAGGUGUAGCGGUAAAAUGCGCAGAUAUCUGAAGGAACACCAGUGGCGAAGGCGGCUCCCUGGGGCCCACCUGACGCUGAGAGACGAAAGCUAGGGGAGCGAACAGGAUUAGAGACCCUGGUAGUCCUAGCCAUAAACGAUGGAUGCUAGGUGUGGGACCGAGAAGGUUCUGUGCCGGAGCAGACGCGAUAAGCAUCCCGCCUGGGGAGUACGACCGCAAGGUUAAAACUCAAACGAAUUGACGGGGCCCCGCACAAGCAGCGGAGCGUGUGGUUUAAUUCGAUAUUACACGAAGAACCUUACCUGGGAUUGACAUGCAGAUGGUAGUGAAGCGAAAGCGGAACGACCCUUCGGGGAGUCUGCACAGGUGCUGCAUGGCUGUCGUCAGCUCGUGCCGUGAGGUGUCGGGUUAAGUCCCGUAACGAGCGCAACCCUUGCCCGCCGUUAUACGUGUCAGCGGGGACUGCCGGCGGUAAGCCGGAGGAAGGUGGGGAUGACGUCAAGUCAGCAUGGCCUUUAUAUCCAGGGCUACACACACGCUACAAUGGUCGGUACAAAGGGCAGCGAAACCGCGAGGUGAAGCGAAUCUCAAAAAGCCGGUCGUAGUUCGAAUUGCAGGCUGCAACUCGCCUGCAUGAAGCUGGAGUUGCUAGUAACCGCGCGUCAGCUAUAGUGCGGUGAAUACGUUCCCGGGGCUUGUACACACCGCCCGUCACGUCAUGGAAGUUGGUAACGCCUGAAGCCGGUAGCUUAGCCCGCAAGGGGGAGCGCUGUCGAAGGCGGGACUGGCAACUGGGACGAAGUCGUAACAAGGUAGCGGUACCGGAAGGUGCGGCUGG
This 1174-nucleotide ribosomal RNA is filed under the name metagenome. RNAcentral's name for it is "bacterial SSU rRNA". It matches the Rfam family "Bacterial small subunit ribosomal RNA", at positions 318 to 1521 of the family's 1533-position model. The record is from RNAcentral.